RNAcentral lists this ribosomal RNA (515 nucleotides) under uncultured bacterium. Its description in RNAcentral is "partial 16S ribosomal RNA". It matches the Rfam family "Bacterial small subunit ribosomal RNA", at positions 28 to 523 of the family's 1533-position model. The record is from RNAcentral.
GAUGAACGCUGGCGGCGUGCCUAAUACAUGCAAGUCGAGCGAAUGGAUUAAGAGCUUGCUCUUAUGAAGUUAGCGGCGGACGGGUGAGUAACACGUGGGUAACCUGCCCAUAAGACUGGGAUAACUCCGGGAAACCGGGGCUAAUACCGGAUAACAUUUUGAACCGCAUGGUUCGAAAUUGAAAGGCGGCUUCGGCUGUCACUUAUGGAUGGACCCGCGUCGCAUUAGCUAGUUGGUGAGGUAACGGCUCACCAAGGCAACGAUGCGUAGCCGACCUGAGAGGGUGAUCGGCCACACUGGGGCUGAGACACGGCCCAGACUCCGACGGGAGGCAGCAGUAGGGAAUCUUCCGCAAUGGACGAAAGUCUGACGGAGCAACGCCGCGUGAGUGAUGAAGGCUUUCGGGUCGUAAAACUCUGUUGUUAGGGAAGAACAAGUGCUAGUUGAAUAAGCUGGCACCUUGUCGGUACCUAACCAGAAAGCCACGGCUAACUACGUGCCAGCCGCCGCAGUAA